GACGAACCGUACGAACGUUAUUCGGAAUUACUGGGCUUAAAGGGUGCGUAGGCGGCGCAGUAAGUUGGGUGUGAAAUCCCUCGGCUUAACCGAGGAACUGCGCCCAAAACUACUGUGCUCGAGGGAGACAGAGGUGAGCGGAACUUAGGGUGGAGCGGUGAAAUGCGUUGAUAUCCUAAGGAACACCUGUGGCGAAAGCGGCUCACUGGGUCUCUUCUGACGCUGAGGCACGAAAGCUAGGGUAGCGAACGGG
Molecule: ribosomal RNA, 253 nt
Filed under: uncultured bacterium
Lineage: Bacteria
Description: partial 16S ribosomal RNA
Rfam family: Bacterial small subunit ribosomal RNA
Source: RNAcentral